Drosophila albomicans is the source of this 610-nucleotide long non-coding RNA. RefSeq lists it as uncharacterized. NCBI's taxonomy places the organism in Eukaryota, Metazoa, Arthropoda, Insecta, Diptera, Drosophilidae. The record is from RefSeq and is a predicted model, not a curated record. The transcript is spliced from 3 exons.
GCUAACUUCAUUUUUAUUUAUCAAACUGAAAAAUUCACAAAUAAUAAAAUUCAAUGCGCACUCAACACGUGCCGCCUAACAUAGAACUAGAGCCAGAAAGCCGUUGGAAUUGCAGGGCUGCAAUUUAACAGAGCUCUGUUAUGUUAAGUACUGUGGCGGUAGAUCGAUAAAUUGCUCUUUUCAUUUGGCGGCAAUUGAGAUCGAAUUUCAAAUUUUAAUUUCUUUGAUGUACUUAUCUUUUGAUCAACGGAUAAUGGAAUUGUCAGCAAGAUCCAUGAUAAGUUGCGCGGCAAUUAAUCAGUUCAUAACGUGGAUUAAACGAUGCAAUGAUUAGAGGGGCGUUAACUAAAAAAGAAAAAAAAACAAUCUCUACUAUCAUUUCUCGGUUGCAGCUACGCCUGCAAACGUGGGCCACACAUCUGGCUGGCUUAACUUGUUGCCAACUGCCGUUACAAGCUACAACUCUUUGUUGUUGUCACACAAAGACUGAAAUCGAGAGUAAGGCUUAAGUGGAGCAGGGGCUGUUUGCCUUGAUCGCCGGCACUUGCAAUUAUUAAUAGAAAAAUUCACGUAAUGUUGAACGAACGACAAAAAUAAAAAAACAACUGGA